ACCGGGGCUAAACAUAUUACCGAAGCUGUGGAUUGUCCUUUGGACAAUGGUAGGAGAGCGUUCUAAGGGCGUUGAAGCAUGAUCGUAAGGACAUGUGGAGCGCUUAGAAGUGAGAAUGCCGGUGUGAGUAGCGAAAGACGGGUGAGAAUCCCGUCCACCGAUUGACUAAGGUUUCCAGAGGAAGGCUCGUCCGCUCUGGGUUAGUCGGGUCCUAAGCUGAGGCCGACAGGCGUAGGCGAUGGAUAACAGGUUGAUAUUCCUGUACCACCUAUAAUCGUUUUAAUCGAUGGGGGGACGCAGUAGGAUAGGCGAAGCGUGCGAUUGGAUUGCACGUCUAAGCAGUAAGGCUGAGUAUUAGGCAAAUCCGGUACUCGUUAAGGCUGAGCUGUGAUGGGGAGAAGACAUUGUGUCUUCGAGUCGUUGAUUUCACACUGCCGAGAAAAGCCUCUAGAUAGAAAAUAGGUGCCCGUACCGCAAACCGACACAGGUAGUCAAGAUGAGAAUUCUAAGGUGAGCGAGCGAACUCUCGUUAAGGAACUCGGCAAAAUGACCCCGUAACUUCGGGAGAAGGGGUGCUCUUUAGGGUUAACGCCCAGAAGAGCCGCAGUGAAUAGGCCCAAGCGACUGUUUAUCAAAAACACAGGUCUCUGCUAAACCGUAAGGUGAUGUAUAGGGGCUGACGCCUGCCCGGUGCUGGAAGGUUAAGAGGAGUGGUUAGCUUCUGCGAAGCUACGAAUCGAAGCCCCAGUAAACGGCGGCCGUAACUAUAACGGUCCUAAGGUAGCGAAAUUCCUUGUCGGGUAAGUUCCGACCCGCACGAAAGGCGUAACGAUUUGGGCACUGUCUCAACGAGAGACUCGGUGAAAUCAUAGUACCUGUGAAGAUGCAGGUUACCCGCGACAGGACGGAAAGACCCCGUGGAGCUUUACUGUAGCCUGAUAUUGAAAUUCGGCACAGCUUGUACAGGAUAGGUAGGAGCCUUUGAAACGUGAGCGCUAGCUUACGUGGAGGCGCUGGUGGGAUACUACCCUAGCUGUGUUGGCUUUCUAACCCGCACCACUUAUCGUGGUGGGAGACAGUGUCAGGCGGGCAGUUUGACUGGGGCGGUCGCCUCCUAAAAGGUAACGGAGGCGCUCAAAGGUUCCCUCAGAAUGGUUGGAAAUCAUUCAUAGAGUGUAAAGGCAUAAGGGAGCUUGACUGCGAGACCUACAAGUCGAGCAGGGUCGAAAGACGGACUUAGUGAUCCGGUGGUUCCGCAUGGAAGGGCCAUCGCUCAACGGAUAAAAGCUACCCCGGGGAUAACAGGCUUAUCUCCCCCAAGAGUUCACAUCGACGGGGAGGUUUGGCACCUCGAUGUCGGCUCAUCGCAUCCUGGGGCUGUAGUCGGUCCCAAGGGUUGGGCUGUUCGCCCAUUAAAGCGGUACGCGAGCUGGGUUCAGAACGUCGUGAGACAGUUCGGUCCCUAUCCGUCGUGGGCGUAGGAAAUUUGAGAGGAGCUGUCCUUAGUACGAGAGGACCGGGAUGGACAUACCUCUGGUGUACCAGUUGUCGUGCCAACGGCAUAGCUGGGUAGCUAUGUGUGGACGGGAUAAGUGCUGAAAGCAUCUAAGCAUGAAGCCCCCCUCAAGAUGAGAUUUCCCAACUUCGGUUAUAAGAUCCCUCAAAGAUGAUGAGGUUAAUAGGUUCGAGGUGGAAGCAUGGUGACAUGUGGAGCUGACGAAUACUAAUCGAUCGAAGACUUAAUCAA
This 1747-nucleotide ribosomal RNA is filed under the name Staphylococcus aureus. RNAcentral's name for it is "partial 23S ribosomal RNA". It matches the Rfam family "Bacterial large subunit ribosomal RNA", at positions 1174 to 2925 of the family's 2925-position model. Lineage: Bacteria; Bacillati; Bacillota; Bacilli; Caryophanales; Staphylococcaceae. RNAcentral also lists the same sequence under 1 other name. The record is from RNAcentral.